AUCAUAUUAGCUCUCCUGGAAACACUGGGUCUUUACCAAUAGCAACACUGACUAUUCUAUAUAAAUCAAAUUUACCAGCCUAUAAACAUUAGCACAUCCCACAGACAUAUUCACCCUCAUAAAAACAUCAAUUGCUGCCUGACUAUAUUAGUGGAAAUAAAUUACAGAACUUUAUCUCUCUGCCACGAUUAUGGGCAAAACCACAUAAAAGAGACACUUGGAAGACGCUUUUGUGUCGAUUGUUACAGAAGCUGCUGAUGCUGUUCUGCUUCUUCAAACCACUAUGAAUUGCAUAUAAUUAAGGGAUUUGAAAACCUUUGAUGACUAAACGAUAAAAAUGCCCCCUCUGCAAACCCUGAAGCACCUGUGUGAGCAAUUUUGUGCAGGUGAGGAGAAUAAAACCAACUUACUAAGCAUCUCACGUUGGAAGGGGAGCAUAGGAUAGGUUCUUUUAUGCUGCUCCUCCAGUGAAGGAUGAACAGGAGAAAAUGUCUGACUGGGGGGGGGGAGAGAGUUUGUGCCAUUCAGCUCCUCAGAAAGAUGGCUGUGAGGAUUUAUUAUUUUCUCUGAAGCUGAACAAUUUUAUCAGGAGCUGCACAGCAGUAUCCCCUGGUUUUGUGUCCGGUGUCUUCGUGAGUGGUGGACUGAGAGCAUCCAGUCAGAGGGAGCGAUGAAAACCUCUCCCCGCGCACACCAACAAAGUGUCCCCACCACGGCGGGACCUGGGACCUCUCGUCACUGAACUCCAUCAAACUGCAGAGCAGUGUGAGGGCUGGUGGAGGUCCUACAGCUUUUGUGGUGAUUCUUCGUCGAACAGAGAAGAGCAGCCCAAAUUAAGGCCUUGCCCAAGAGGAAAAUGGGCAGAACCUGGCCGUUAGAUUGGGAGUUUGGAAGCAGCCAGUCGGCCAAGGAGCAAGGUGUUGGCCUCUUCUACAGGACAUAGGAAGGAGCUGGUGUUACUGUGGGAUGCAGAUUUAAGGCACUGAGCACAACAAUUCAUGAGAAAUCAGACUCUCUCUUAAUUCCACAGUUCACAGUUUUUUUUGUUGUUUGUUUUUUUCCCUUUGGUAUAACUCUGGAUUUUCUUAUUAUCUGCCUAAAAUGGUGAUCCCUUUC
This 1116-nucleotide long non-coding RNA is filed under the name Anser brachyrhynchus (Pink-footed goose). Its description in RNAcentral is "lncRNA (ENSABRG00000012539.1)". The record is from RNAcentral. Lineage: Eukaryota; Metazoa; Chordata; Aves; Anseriformes; Anatidae.